UAAGGGAUAUUGCGCAAUGGGCGAAAGCCUGACGCAGCAACGCCGCGUGGAGGAAGAAGGCCUUCGGGUCGUAAACUCCUUUUGUGAGUGACGAGGAAGGACGGUAGCUCACGAAUAAGUCACGGCUAACUACGUGCCAGCAGCCGCGGUAAAACGUAGGUGGCGAGCGUUAUCCGGAUUUACUGGGCGUAAAGCGUGUGCAGAUGGGAAAGCAAGUGGUGUAUGAAAUCGCUCAGCUUAACUGGGCGGGGUUAUGCCAUACUGCUUUUCUAGAGAACGGGAGAGGGACGUGGAAUUCCGGGUGUAGUGGUGAAAUGCGUAGAGAUCCGGAGGAACCCCUGAGGCGAAGGCGGCGUCCUGGCCCGAUUCUGACAUUCAGACACGACAGCAUGGGGAGCGAACGG
RNAcentral lists this ribosomal RNA (404 nucleotides) under uncultured bacterium. RNAcentral's name for it is "bacterial SSU rRNA". It matches the Rfam family "Bacterial small subunit ribosomal RNA", at positions 355 to 775 of the family's 1533-position model. The record is from RNAcentral.